UACGUAGGGCGCAAGCGUUGUCCGGAAUUAUUGGGCGUAAAGAGCUCGUAGGCGGCCUGUUGCGUCCGCUGUGAAAUCCCGGGGCUCAACCCCGGGCCUGCAGUGGAUACGGGCUGGCUAGAGGCAGGCAGGGGAGAACGGAAUUCCUGGUGUAGCGGUGAAAUGCGCAGAUAUCAGGAGGAACACCGGUGGCGAAGGCGGGUCUCUGGGCAACUACUGACGCUGAGGUGCGAAAGCGUGGGGAGCAAACAGG
This 253-nucleotide ribosomal RNA is filed under the name uncultured bacterium. RNAcentral's name for it is "partial 16S ribosomal RNA". It matches the Rfam family "Bacterial small subunit ribosomal RNA", at positions 524 to 776 of the family's 1533-position model. The record is from RNAcentral.